CUGCUAUCGGAUGAUACUAAGCCAUGCGAGUCUUUGUAGUAAUACAAGGCAUACGGCUCAGUAACACGUAGUCAACCUACCCUAUGGACGAGAAUAAUCUCGGGAAACUGAGCAUAAUUCUUGAUAGAUCAUAAUGCCUGGAAUGGUUUAUGGUUAAAAUGAUUCGUCGCCAUAGGAUGGGACUGCGGCCUAUCAGCUUGUUGGUGAGGUAAUGGCCCACCAAGGCGAUUACAGGUACGGGCUCUGAGAGGAGAAGCCCGGAGAUGGGUACUGAGACACGGACCCAGGCCCUAUGGGGCGCAGCAGGCGAGAAAACUUUGCAAUGUGCGAAAGCACGACAAGGUUAAUCCGAGUGAUUUCUGCUAAAGAAAUCUUUUGCCAGUCAUAAAACCACUGGUGAAUAAGGGGUGGGCAAGUUCUGGUGUCAGCCGCCGCGGUAAAACCAGCACCUCAAGUGGUCAGGAUGAUUAUUGGGCCUAAAGCAUCCGUAGCCGGCUUUGUUAGUUUUCGGUUAAAUCCAUGUGCUCAACGCAUGGGCUGCCGAAAAUACUGCAUAGCUAGGGAGUGGGAGAGGUAGACGGUACUCAGUAGGAAGGGGUAAAAUCCUUUGAUCUAUUGAUGACCACCUGUGGCGAAGGCGGUCUACCAGAACACGUUCGACGGUGAGGGAUGAAAGCUGGGGGAGCAAACCGGAUUAGAUACCCGGGUAGUCCCAGCUGUAAACGAUGCAGACUCGAUGAUGCAUUGGCAUAAUAGCCAGUGCAGUGUCGCAGGGAAGCCGUUAAGUCUGCCGCCUGGGAAGUACGUACGCAAGUAUGAAACUU
RNAcentral lists this ribosomal RNA (824 nucleotides) under uncultured marine group I thaumarchaeote. Its description in RNAcentral is "SSU rRNA". It matches the Rfam family "Archaeal small subunit ribosomal RNA", at positions 27 to 857 of the family's 1478-position model. Lineage: Archaea; Thermoproteati; Nitrososphaerota. The record is from RNAcentral.